CGGGUGAGUAACACGUGGAUAACCUACCUAUAAGACUGGGAUAACUUCGGGAAACCGGAGCUAAUACCGGAUAAUAUAUUGAACCGCAUGGUUCAAUAGUGAAAGACGGUUUUGCUGUCACUUAUAGAUGGAUCCGCGCCGCAUUAGCUAGUUGGUAAGGUAACAGCUUACCAAGGCAACGAUGCGUAGCCGACCUGAGAGGGUGAUCGGCCACACUGGAACUGAGACACGGUCCAG
RNAcentral lists this ribosomal RNA (237 nucleotides) under uncultured Staphylococcus sp. Its description in RNAcentral is "partial 16S ribosomal RNA". It matches the Rfam family "Bacterial small subunit ribosomal RNA", at positions 103 to 334 of the family's 1533-position model. The record is from RNAcentral. Lineage: Bacteria; Bacillati; Bacillota; Bacilli; Caryophanales; Staphylococcaceae.